UGUUCAAAACAAAUGCCAUAGUCUUAUGCCUCCAGGUAUCACAAAUGCCAUUAAUUAGUAAUCCUGGAAAGUCUGCUUUAGAGUUAACAACGGGUGAUUGGAUAAGCAAAUAGCAGAAGUCCUAUUGCUUGUGGCUGGAUUAGUUGAAAGUUUUCCUUAUUGUCACUGGCAUUCUCCAUUUCUCUUUAAGCUGAAAAUACUUUGCAAAUAGUUUUAACUUCAAGUCUUAACAGCACCUGUUUAGGGGGGAAAAAUAUUAAAAACAAAAGUAACAUUUCUGUAACUUUUUGGCAAGCUGCUUUUUUUUUAAAUGAACAUCUGAACUGGAAACUUCUUGGAAACACGCUUUUCACAUUUCUUUUCUUGGAAUGGUACAUCUUCGCUCAGAGAAGUGAUAAAACUAUUGAUAAACAAACUGAAGAUCUUCAUGAUUUUUGAAGAUGAAAAGAAAAUAAAUUUUGCCAGUAGCAGUCCCAGCCCCCUCUGUGAGCAGAUGACGCCAAAGACAGAAAAUGCACAGAACUCCUGGAGAACAGAGAAGCCCUAAGAAAACUUUUCCUGUGCUGCCCGUGGAUAGCUAGCUUUAUGCUAACACUAUGAAAAAGUGUCAGCUGCAUUUCCUUAGCAGCAGCGAGCCCAGCCGUCUGGAGAACAUCAGUUUCUGUGCCUCAGUCUGUCACCUUGGCCUCCACCAGCCGACUUGGUGAGGCAAACCUGGCUGCACCCAGCUGCUGCUUUCCAACAAACCAGCAUCCUGAUGGUGAAGGCAAUGCAUAUGCAGGUGGAUGCCCAGCCUGUUUCAAAGGAGGCUUGUCAGCCACCCAGCAAGUGAAACCUGUGGGGGCUUUGACUGAACCAUCUGAAUCACCAGAGGCUGCAGAAAUAUGAAUUACCCACUUUGAUGUACCCAGUAUUUUUCAGAAAGCAUUUUAUGUGUUUAUCUGAGGACAUUAGAGUGCUGCUGCUCUCUGUAAGGGCUGAAAAGCUGCUGCUACCAAAACCUUCCAUGAAGAGGAUGCAGAACAGCUCUUGCAGCCUUCCAGGUGGUGUAUGGGGAAGUGGGAAGAAGCAAAAGAAAGCAUCAUUUCAAAAGUCUAGUCAGAAA
Centrocercus urophasianus (Greater sage-grouse) is the source of this 1105-nucleotide long non-coding RNA. RefSeq lists it as uncharacterized. Lineage: Eukaryota; Metazoa; Chordata; Aves; Galliformes; Phasianidae. The record is from RefSeq and is a predicted model, not a curated record. The transcript has 5 exons.